AUUGCCUUUGGGCAAUUUGGUGAAAAUAAGUGUAGAAUAUGCAUGUAUUGGAUUAACAUGUGAUAAUCCUCUGCCCAAGGACAAUAUAUGAAGUGGAUUUUAGAAGCAGGGAGAUAGGACAGAAGCUUGCCUAACCUCUUCACAUAUCCCUCUGGUACUGUAGGACCUCCAGAAACAGUGCACCCUUC
Apodemus sylvaticus (European woodmouse) is the source of this 188-nucleotide small nuclear RNA. RefSeq annotates it as U2 spliceosomal RNA. The record is from RefSeq and is a predicted model, not a curated record. The transcript has a single exon. NCBI's taxonomy places the organism in Eukaryota, Metazoa, Chordata, Mammalia, Rodentia, Muridae.